This is a small nuclear RNA of Penaeus indicus, 134 nucleotides long. RefSeq annotates it as U4 spliceosomal RNA. The record is from RefSeq and is a predicted model, not a curated record. Lineage: Eukaryota; Metazoa; Arthropoda; Malacostraca; Decapoda; Penaeidae. The transcript has a single exon.
AUGUUUCCGCAGUGGCAGUAUCGUAACCAAUGAGGUGAAACCGAGGUGCGAUUAUUGUUAGUUGAAAACUUUAACCAAUACCCCGCCUGGACGUCGUGAAAGGCCAACGGCCAAUUUUUUAAAGAAUUUCACUA